This 446-nucleotide ribosomal RNA is filed under the name uncultured bacterium. Its description in RNAcentral is "bacterial SSU rRNA". It matches the Rfam family "Bacterial small subunit ribosomal RNA", at positions 329 to 792 of the family's 1533-position model. The record is from RNAcentral.
GUCCAGACUCCUACGGGAGGCAGCAGUAGGGAAUAUUGCUCAAUGGGGGAAACCCUGAUGCAGCGACGCCGCGUGAGCGAUGAAGUAUUUCGGUAUGUAAAGCUCUAUCAGCAGGGAAGAAAAUGACGGUACCUGACUAAGAAGCCCCGGCUAACUACGUGCCAGCAGCCGCGGUAAUACGUAGGGGGCAAGCGUUAUCCGGAUUUACUGGGUGUAAAGGGAGCGUAGACGGCAGUGCAAGUCUGGAGUGAAAGGCGGGGGCUCAACCCCCGGACUGCUCUGGAAACUGUACGGCUGGAGUGCAGGAGAGGUAAGUGGAAUUCCUAGUGUAGCGGUGAAAUGCGUAGAUAUCAGGAGGAACACCGGCGGCGAAGGCGGCCUGCUGGACCGCGACUGACGUUGAGGCUCGAAAGCGUGGGGAGCGAACAGGAUUAGAUACCCUUGUA